UCAGGAGGACAGAAGGUGAGGUGCAUGGAGCACACAAGGAUCAGGAGGACAGAAGGUGAGGUACAUGGAGCACACAAGGAUCAGGAGGACAGAAGGUGAGGUGCAUGGAGCACACAAAGAUCUGGAGGACAGAAGGUGAGGUACAUGGAGCACACAAGGAUCAGGAGGACAGAAGGUGAGGUACAUGGGGUACACAAGGAUCAGGAGGACAGAAGGUGAGGUACAUGGGGUACACACGGAUCUGGAGGAAUGAAGGUGAGGUACAUGGAGCACACAAGGAUCUGGAGGACAGAAGGUGAGGUGCAUGGAGCACACAAGGAUCAGGAGGACAGAAGGUGAGGUGCAUGGAGCACACAAGGAUCAGGAGGACAGAAGGUGAGGUGCAUGGAGCACA
Molecule: long non-coding RNA, 394 nt
Organism: Nanorana parkeri
Lineage: Eukaryota; Metazoa; Chordata; Amphibia; Anura; Dicroglossidae
Exons: 3
Source: RefSeq, a predicted model, not a curated record